Toxorhynchites rutilus septentrionalis is the source of this 7846-nucleotide RNA transcript. RefSeq lists it as uncharacterized. The transcript is spliced from 2 exons. Lineage: Eukaryota; Metazoa; Arthropoda; Insecta; Diptera; Culicidae. The record is from RefSeq and is a predicted model, not a curated record.
AUGUAACUGCUUACUUAUCGAUCGUCGUUCGUCGAUCGUCCAGUCUGCUUGACCAUCACGUAACAAUCGUGAUCUGUCAGUGGACGAUGAUCAGCAUUUCUUUAUCUGCGACGAGCACUAAAGAACAGAUUACUUGCAAAAAUCCUUAAGUUAUACGAUCCUGUGCCUGAUAAUAAUUUCUAAAGACUAGUGCUAGUGUUUAUAUACCUAAAUUACCUAAAAUUAUUUUUUAUAAAUACUAGGAUAAAAAAGGUAACAAUACGUUGAGUUUGCAAUCAAUUUAUCUUAAAACCUAGUGUCCUUAAAAAUAGGUUACAGCUACAACUAGGAACUAAGAAGAAAUUAUCUACAUCUAUCGCUUAUUAUACUACGCUAAACCUACAAUUUACCACAUCGGUGAGAAUCGAACAUUAAACCUAUUAUACAAUUCCUUAUACAUACAAUUUACAAACUUACAAUAUAGGGCAAAUUAGGAAUAUUGACAUAACCUUGAAUUAUUAUGUGGAAGAGAAGUUGAAUUACUAAAAGUAAGUGAAUUGGAUUCUAAAUUAUGUAUUUAAAAUAAUUAUUGUAUCCAUCAUUCCUGUAGGAAUUUAUAACUCGAUGUACUCUCAGUAAUAAAGUUCAUGAAUUCGGUUAAUUCUGGCGACGCCCGCGACUAUUCUUCCAACAUUUUAUAAAUUCUUUUAACCGAGCCGAGAGAUGUCGUCGAAGCAUUCCAAAGCCGAAACCGCGAAAAAGGCGAGUAAAACGGUCACGAUGAGCAAUCAGCAAGUCGCAGAGCCCGCGACGAACGCUACAUCAUGUUCAACAAAUACCGUUGCUGUUCCCUCUACUAGCGGCCAGGUAACAGUAGUUAGUAUCGAUCAGGCCGGGACUGGAGCAGCCCCUGAGAAGCGUAUGGCUGGAGAAAGGCGAACCGAUAAAUCUAGUGGCGCCACCCGCGCAGCGGUCAUUCAGGAGUCAGACUGUCCCUUGUGUGAUGAGCCAAAUGAUAUGGAAAUGGUCCAAUGUGAUACUUGCCAGAGGUGGUUUCAUUUUCGGUGCGUGAAGGUAACGCAGGACAUUCAAAAUGUGAGCUGGAGCUGCACCGACUGUCCUACUGUGAGUAAUCAACAACGUACGACUGCCCCCGUACCUACUCAAAACCAAACAUUGCCUACUCAGUCGCAGACGGCGAAGAGCGUUGUAAAGAGUAUACAAAGUGAGGCAAGGAGGAGAUUGAAGCUGCAGUUGCUGAAAAUCGAAGAAGAGAAAAAACUUGAACAGAAGUACCUGAAGAAGAAAUACGACGUGCUUCUUGAGUACGGAAGUGAUACUUCAACGGAGAUAAGUGUCAACGAGGCGGAGAAAAUAUCUAAAAUCGAGGAAUGGGUGGCCGAUACUGAGCGUUGCGAUAACCAAGCGAACACCGGAUUAGAGCCUGAAGAGAUGGAAGAACUUUUGCCAAUCCAACUGGCUGGACCUACAGAGCAAACUGCUCCGAAUCUUGAACAAGGCACCGUGCAACUCACAAAUCCACAACAUCCAGUAUCUUCGGAUGUUCCUGGUAUUCAUCGUGUUAACCCUCCUUCGCUAAUCGACCCUCGCAUGUUCGUUCCAGGACAAAGAUCAACACCGAUGCGUCCGAGUCAGCAAGUAUCGAUGCCGCCGUCUGCGCCGCAUGUUGCAAAUGAAACUGUAUGCAUUCUAAACAGGAGUCAGCUAGCCGCACGACAAGCGGUUUCGAAAGAUCUCCCGGAAUUCAGUGGCAACCCCGAAGAUUGGCCACUCUUCUUCUCGAACUUCAGUAACUCUACCCAGAUGUGCGGGUUCUCCAACGAAGAAAAUAUGUUGCGGCUCCGAAAGUGCCUCAAAGGGAGAGCUUUAGAAGCAGUCAAGUGCCGCUUGCUUCAUCCGUUUAACGUCGCAGGAGUUAUGUCAACAUUGAAAAUGUUAUAUGGCAGGCCGGAAGCGAUUAUACAAGCAAUUGUAAAAAAUGUUCGAUCGUUACCAUCGCCAAACAUCGAUAGGCUAGAGACCGUCGUCAACUUCGCGCUCACCGUGGAGAACUUGGUCGCAACAAUCCAAGCAUGUGAAGUACACGAUUUCGUCUAUAAUGCUUCUUUACGAUACGAACUGGUGGAACGGUUACCUUCGACGUUGAAGCUUGAUUGGGCCAAACACUCUAGGGAUAAGCUCAAUCCAAAUUUGCUCGACUUCAGCUCGUGGCUGUAUUCAACAGCAGAGGAUGCCAGUGCGGUAAUGGCUACGAUAAAUAACGACCCAAAGCCUCGUUCCAUUAAGAAGGAUGGAUUUUUGAAUAUACAUUCAGAAACCGAGUCGGGAAAUAACAGAUCGUACAUGUCACCAUCUAAAGUGAAACCAACUUCUUUCAGUGGGUUUGAGAAGCAUUGUCCCAUAUGUAAGGGCGGGUGCCAGAGCGUUCCAAAGUGCAAACGAUUUGCCGAGUUCAGUUAUGACUCGAGAUGGGCUGCAGUGCGAGAGUGUAAACUCUGCCGAAAGUGCUUACGGAAGCACAACGGAUCAUGCAGGCAACAGAAGCCAUGCGGAAUAAGUGGUUGUAUUUAUUUACACCACCCUCUUCUCCACAGUGAGAAACAACAGAGCAAUAGUUCGUCAAAUGGAUCAAUCACUGCUACGCUAUCAGAAGGGACAUCUCAGCAGAGUUGUAACAUUCACCAAGGUCAAUCGAAAGUUUUGUUCCGAAUACUCCCAGUUCGUCUCUAUGGACCCUCGAAAACAGUGCAAGCCUUCGCGUUUAUCGAUGAUGGUUCGGAACUCUCGUUAAUGGAUCAAAGCUUGGCUGAAGAGUUAGGUCUGAAAGGCCCCAGGAAAUCUUUAUGCCUGAAAUGGACAGGAGAGACGCAGCGUUUAGAAAAAUCGUCACAGAUUGUAAGUCUGCAAAUUUCAAGUUGCUUCAGUCAGGCAAAAAGGUACGAACUUUGUUCCGUACAUACCGUACAAAGUCUACAAAUAAGACCGCAAACACUACUCUAUUCUGAGAUUCAGAAAAAGUACCAACAUCUUGUCGGGCUUCCCAUUCAAUCGUACGAGAACGCCUGUCCUCGUAUAUUGAUAGGUCUUGAUAAUCUCAAUCUCGGACAUCCACUGAAGUGUAAAGAAGGACAAUCACAAGAACCAAUAGGCGUCAAGACGCGUCUUGGGUGGACCGUCUAUGGAAGCUGCGUGUCAGAAGAUGCUGCUGAACAUUCCGUUAACUACCACUCCUUGCAGAUUUGUCAAUGCAACCAAUACAAUGAUGAGGAUCUCCAUAGAACAGUUAAAAGCUUCUUUUCGUUAGAGAGCAUUGGAAUUACAAAGCCCGAAAGACCCUUACAGUCUCAGGACGACCAGCGUGCCCUGAUGCUUCUGGAAUCGCUAACAAUAUUUCGAGAUGGAAGGUAUGAAACGGGACUUCUGUUUAAGUACGACAAUGUGCGUCUGCCGAACAACAAAGAGAUGGCGCUGAAGAGGUGGCAGUGUUUGGAUCGGAGGAUGAAGCACGAUCGAGCAUUAGCUGAAGCAGUGAACGCGAAAAUCGAAGACCACAUCGAGAAGGGUUACAUACGCAAGCUAACUGACGAAGAGGUUCAAGCCUACCCUAAUGUCUGGUAUCUCCCGAUGUUUCCAGUGGUAAACCCAAACAAACCCGGAAAAAUAAGGCUCGUGUGGGAUGCUGCAGCCACAACUUACGGAGUUUCUCUGAAUUCCGUGCUAUUGAAGGGUCCGGAUCUUCUAACGUCGCUGUUAUCUGUACUGAUACAGUUUCGCGAAUGCCGUAUUGCAGUAUCCGGAGAUAUCCGGGAGAUGUAUCAGCAAGUAUCAAUUCGGAAGAAGGAUCAACCGUACCAGUUAUUCUUCUAUACAAAAAGUGGAAUCAACCCGAACACGUACGUCAUACAGGUCAUGACGUUUGGAGCCUGUUGCUCGCCUAGUACUGCACAGUACAUAAAAAAUCUCCAUGCAAGGAAGUUCGAACAGAGCUAUCCUACAGCUGUUGAAGUAAUCGUGGAACGCCACUACGUCGACGAUAUGCUUCUAAGCGUCGAACAUGAGGAAGAAGCAAUAAAGCUAACGAGAGAGGUGAGGAAAAUUCAUGCAUCUGCGGGAUUCGACAUCCGAAAUUGGGCCUCCAAUUCUCCCGCGGUACUGAAGGCGCUGGACGAGUCCCCCACAGCAGUCAAAAGGCUAAGUGGUGAUGGUUCAGUUGAGAAAAUCCUCGGCAUGUGGUGGGACACUUCUACAGAUAACAUUACGUUUAAAAUUUCCGAUCGUAUAGAUGCGCUGCUCUUGUCCGGUACCCGUCGACCUACCAAACGAGAGGUCUUGCGGACUCUCAUGAUGGUUUUUGACCCGCUAGGGCUUAUCGGACAUUUUCUGAUGAUCCUCAAGACGCUUUUCCAAGAGAUAUGGCGCUCGUCAAUCGGCUGGGAUGAUUCGAUCAACGACUCGCAUUUCGAAAAGUGGUCUUCGUGGUGUGUGUCUCUCCCCGGAAUAACGACGCUUCAGAUCCCUCGCUGCUAUCGAACAAAAUCCUCUAUAGCCAAGCACAAUGACAUCCAGCUACAUACCUUUGUUGAUGCGAGUGAAACCGGCUUCGCUGCAGUUGUAUACCUGAGAUUUCAGGAAGACACCACUAUCGAAUGUGCAUUAGUUGGAUCGAAAACGAGAGUGUCACCUAUCAAAUUUCUGUCCAUUCCCCGUUCAGAGCUUCAAGCCGCCAUAAUUGGAGUCAGACUAGCAGAAACGGUGAAGCAAUCGUUAUCGAUCAAGAUAAGGCAACGAUACUUUUGGACGGAUUCGAAGGAUGUACUCUGCUGGCUGAAUUCCGACCAUCGUCGUUAUAGCCAGUUUGUGGCCUUCAGAGUCAGCGAGCUCCUCGAAUCCUCAGAUGUGCGCGAAUGGAAUUGGAUACCUAGCAAGCAAAACGUGGCGGACGAAGGAACGAAAUGGAAGACCAACCCCGACUUGUCCGCUUCUAGCCGUUGGUUCCGUGGGCCAGAAUUCCUGUGGAAAUCUACGGAACAUUGGCCUAUGUCUAAUAGUCGCAUCGGAGUAACCACUGAAGAACUACGUCCUCAUCUGUUGUUUCAUACUAAAAUUGUAGAACCUGUAAUCGAUCUCCAUCGCUUUUCCGACUGGCGGAAACUAAUUCGCUGCACGGCUCAUGUUUUUCGCUACAUAAAUAAUCUGAAAUCCUGCGUAUAUAAAAAGAAUGUAACCAACGGACCACUGCAACGUCGAGAGCUAAGCGAUUCCGAAUGCUGCCUAUUUCGUAUGGCACAAAACUACACCUACGCUGACGAAAUCACCAUUCUCUCUAGAAACCGGCUUGCAGAGAAUCCAGACAAAACCAUUCCGAGAAACAGUCCAUUAUUUCACAAAUGUGUCUUCCUCGACGAGAACGAUGUUCUAAGGGUUCGAGGUCGAACAAGAGCUUGCCAGUUUAUCGCCCGAGAUGCCGCUCAACCAAUCAUUCUACCACGCGAGCACCCAAUCACACGGCUUAUUCUUCUUGAUUUUCACAAGCGGUUCAACCACCAGAAUCACGAGACGAUUCUCAAUGAAAUACGUCAACGUUUCCACGUUCCAAGACUGAAGGGAACAUACAGGAAGGUACGCAGGGAGUGCCAAAAAUGCAAGAACGACCAAGCGUCUCCACAACCUCCCGCCAUGAGUGACCUGCCACCGUACCGUCUAGCUGCUUUCACAGGACCCUUCACGUACAUGGGGAUCGAUUAUUUCGGUCCCAUGACCGUCGUCGUUGGACGACGCUCAGAAAAAAGAUGGGGAGUGCUGGCAACAUGCCUCACAACUCGCGCUAUCCAUUUAGAACUAGCUCACACACUGACAACCGAUUCGUGUAUUCUAGCAAUACGUAACGUAAUGGCUAGGAGAGGGACACCUGCAGUUAUUUUUAGCGACCGUGGCACCAACUUCCAGGGCGCCAGUAAAGAAUUGAAAGAAGUGCUGCAAGACAUCAACCAAGAACAGCUCAUGCGGGAAUUCACAACAUCCAAUACGGAAUGGACCUUUAUACCGCCAGCUUCACCACACAUGGGCGGAGCGUGGGAGCGCUUGAUUGGCAGCGUAAAAUGCAACCUUCAUAAACUGCAGUGGAGGAAACUUCCCACGGAUGAAGUUCUUUACAGUACACUGCUAGAAAUUGAGAACAAUAUAAACUCGCGACCACUUACUGACAUCCCCAUGGACGACGAUGAAUCUCCAGUGCUGACACCAAACCACUUUUUGCUGGGGUCAUCAAAUGGACUAAAACCAUGGGUACAGUACAACGAUAACCCCAUCGUGCUCCGGAAUUCCUGGAGGCAAUCACAAGUUAUGGCCAAUGAAUUUUGGCGCCAAUGGUUAAGAGAUUAUCUCCUUGUAAUCACCCGUCGCACCAAGUGGUUCAUGAAGGUAAAACCAAUUCAAGUGAAUGAUGUGGUAGUCAUCGCAGAUCCCAAGGCCCCUCGCAAUAGUUGGCCUAUGGGACGAAUCAUCGCAACCAGAGCAGGACAGGACGGGCAAGUCAGGAGUGCCACCAUACAGACUAAUCAGGGCAUCUACGAACGUCCCGCGGUUAAACUCGCCGUACUCGACGUGGGCGUUAGGAACCAAUACGCCUCCGGAGAACCCUCUGCGCAUUCGGGGAGGAGUGUUAAUACGCCCGUCGAUUUGGCGAUCCCCUCGUACAGUACACAGUAGCAAUGUAACUGCUUACUUAUCGAUCGUCGUUCGUCGAUCGUCCAGUCUGCUUGACCAUCACGUAACAAUCGUGAUCUGUCAGUGGACGAUGAUCAGCAUUUCUUUAUCUGCGACGAGCACUAAAGAACAGAUUACUUGCAAAAAUCCUUAAGUUAUACGAUCCUGUGCCUGAUAAUAAUUUCUAAAGACUAGUGCUAGUGUUUAUAUACCUAAAUUACCUAAAAUUAUUUUUUAUAAAUACUAGGAUAAAAAAGGUUACAGCUACAACUAGGAACUAAGAAGAAAUUAUCUACAUCUAUCGCUUAUUAUACUACGCUAAACCUACAAUUUACCACAUCGGUGAGAAUCGAACAUUAAACCUAUUAUACAAUUCCUUAUACAUACAAUUUACAAACUUACAAUAUAGGGCAAAUUAGGAAUAUUGACAUAACCUUGAAUUAUUAUGUGGAAGAGAAGUUGAAUUACUAAAAGUAAGUGAAUUGGAUUCUAAAUUAUGUAUUUAAAAUAAUUAUUGUAUCCAUCAUUCCUGUAGGAAUUUAUAACUCGAUGUACUCUCAGUAAUAAAGUUCAUGAAUUCGGUUAAUUCUGGCGACGCCCGCGACUAUUCUUCCAACAAUAUGUUUCAUGCUUUUUCCAGCCUCUGGAUUUGAUCUAUAGUUUGCACGUAUUGUCGUAUUGCCUGGAGAAAGCAUUUGUGUGAUACGUCAUUAUAGGGCGCUUGUAACGUGCAUAUGUAUUAGUGAUCUGUUGGGCAGGCAAUAGAGAUCGCUGCAUAAAAUUUAUAUGGAUCGGCAAGAUUAAGCUUUGUUUAAAUAAUCAUUUUAGCGAAAUAGUCAAAGAAAUUACGCGCUAUACUAUAUUAAUAACAUGUAUAUGUCUCUUUAGAUAAAAAAAAUACUUUUAGCGUCAAAGCCAAGUGAAAGAAGUGAAAUAUGGUUAUAAGAAAAUUGAUCAGAAACGAAGAAAAUCCAUCAAUUGGCUAAUUCAUGGAAAAUACAAGGAAGCAUUUGAACGUGAGCUCGAGCCUCUAUGUCUUGAAUCUAGGUCCGAAUAUGCUGAUAAUCCUUUCCUGUUACACAUAUCCCUCGAUUUACACUGAAGAUAGGUUCCCGACAAAACCGUGUAAAACGAAAUAAAC